GGGUGAGUAACGCGUGGGAAUCUGCCUAGUAGUGGGGGAUAGCCCGGGGAAACUCGGAUUAAUACCGCAUACGCCCUACGGGGGAAAGGCCGGGAUCUUCGGACCGGUCGCUAUUGGAUGAGCCUGCGUUGGAUUAGCUAGUUGGUAGGGUAAAGGCCUACCAAGGCGACGAUCCAUAGCUGGUCUGAGAGGAUGAUCAGCCACACUGGAACUGAGACACGGUCCAGACUCC
Molecule: ribosomal RNA, 232 nt
Filed under: uncultured bacterium
Lineage: Bacteria
Description: partial 16S ribosomal RNA
Rfam family: Bacterial small subunit ribosomal RNA
Source: RNAcentral